GUACAUUAAUGACUGUCAGUUGAAAAAAAGCACAACCUGAACGUUGAGAAUUAUGUUGUAUUUGGGGACCUUCCUGAGGGUUAUAGUGGCAGCUGGUAGCCUCUCAGAUAGCUCUGAGAAACUGUUCCACCCACAGAGGUUAAGGGAGGAACCAGGAUAAUAGAAAUUUUUGCUGAAAAAAAAAAAAAGAGUCAAACAUCAGAAGAUUACCAUUAAUCAAGUGCUUUUCUAUUUUUUCUCUUUUCUACUUUUUCUGGACUCAUUGAAAUCAUUCCUUUGAUGUGUCCCUUAACUAUCAAGGGCCAUUAUCCUGUUUUUCUCCAUCCUUAAUUCACCUCAGGGUGCACCUUCGGGGCAGCUGCCAUGGCUCGUGACUUUAUGGCUGCAAAUCCUUUGUUUACUGAAAUGACAGGUGACAUUUUUUUGACCACUUGAUGUUAUCAACAGUAACAAUUUUAGUCACCUGACUGGUUGAUCAGUGUGUUCCAUUAGCACAGAGUUGAAGUCAAAGUGGGCUAGUUUGGGAUAGAUUAAUCAUGAACUUGGUUUGGGGUACUUGAUUUCAGAUCGACAUUCUAGCUGUGACUUUGGACUUCUGAGCUGACAGUGAGGUCUGAGCAAGAGUCAGCCUAAAACACAAGGGGUGGGUAAGAGCAUUCCUGGCAGUCAGAACAGCCAGUCAGGAAUCCAGAGAGACCCUCUUGUUUGGAGGAAGGUAAAGAAGGUCAGUGAGUGCAGCAGAGGGCCGGGGGCCAGGGAAGAGCCACAGGAAUUCAGCUGGAGAACAGACCAGUGCCUUUAUCUUGAGAACAGUGAGAGGCAGUGCAAGGCUUUGGGGCAGGGGAGUGGCACACACGCAGUAUUUGGAGUUUAGACCCUUCCCUCCAGAGCACGGGGCAGGGGCAGGGGGUGAGAGAGAGGGAGAUGGAGGAGAGGAGGCAGGACUGGAGACUCGGAGGUGGAGCACUGUUGUUCUAGUGAGGGUCUUGGGCUGGUUACAGGGACAGUGGGAAGGAGAGACAUGAUGACAUCAAGAGUUGUAGGGGAGGGAGUUCCUGUUGUGGUGCAGCGGAAAUGAAUCCAACUAGGAACCAUGAGGUUGCAGGUUCCUUCCCUGGCUUCGCUCCAUGGGUUAAGGAUCCGGCAUUGCCGUCAGCUGUGGUGUAGGUUGCAGACUUGGUUGGAUCCACGUUACUGUGGCUGUGGCAUAGAUAGGCAGCUGUAGCUCCGAUUGGACCCCUAGACUGGGGAACCUCCAUAUGCCAUGGGUGUGGCCCUAAAAAGCAAAAAACAAAACAAAACCAAAAAAAAAAAAAAAAAAGAGUUAGUUGUACGGGAUGCUGUGACUUGGAUGUCAGGGGUAAGGAGGGAAGAACUUAGGUAGUUGCCAUGUUCUGCAGCUGGGUGGAUGGUGGAGGGGCCCCUUGGGAAGUGGGUUAGAGCAGGUUGAGGCUAACUGAGAAUUCAUCCUUGGACACAUUAAGCUUGAGAUGGGUCAGGAAGGCUGUUGGAUCCAUGGACCUGAAACUCAGGCCAGACUUGGGAGCUGGGCAGAUGGACUAGUAAGUCAUGGGAUAUAGAGGAGAAUUAGAACCUUGGAGGAUGCCUAGGAGAUAGCAUCCCCGUGAGCAAAGAGAACAAAGGGCAAAGAACUAUCUGCCAGGCCGACUGCCUGGGUUUCAAUUCUGGGACCCUUGCUAACUAGCUGUGACACUUGGGUAAAUUGCUCAGUUUACUCAUCUGUAACAAGGAGGAGCCUGUUGCAUCUACUGCAUUGGCGUUGUGAUGAUUCCAUGAAAUAAGGCACCUGAAGCACUUGGCACAGAGCCUGGCACUUCUGGGUUUGUUAAUUACAAUGGUCUGUCUUUGGACCUGAGGUCUCCCACUAUGUGUGAGCGGUUUGAGCUGUGCCUAAUUCCAUUCUAUUUUCUUUCCUAUCUUUUCUUUUGAGAGAUUUUUAAAAUUGGGUUUAUUCCUUCUCCUUUUGAUUGAGCCCACAUGUCCCAUCUUGGUUGUGGCUGGUGCCCACGUUGAGGCCAUUUUCCAUCAGCCCCAUCUUGGGCUCCAGCAGCCCACAGACCAUACCCCAAGGCCCAGCUCUGCCUCACUAAAGGACAGGCUUUAUAGCUUGCUUUCUCUCAUUUACUCUUCGCCACAUCAUAAGCAGAACAGGGGCUAUUCUAUUUUGCAGCAGAAAAAGCCAGUGUCCUGAGUGAAUUAAAAAGGAGCUGUACGAGGUCAGCCUGUAACAUCACUCAGAUUGGAUCUCAGGAUUAAUUUUGGUGCGUCUGAUCUUCCAUCUACAGAUUGAUCUCUGCAUACACCAGAGAAGAAGGAUUGAGGCUUCCCACUCUGAGCCGACUCUCUCAUUCUCUGCUGGCUUUGGGAGCCUGCUGGGCUCCAAAGGAAGGGGCGUGCAGUGCCCUGGGAUGUAAUCAUUGAUUUAAUAAUACUCAGGGGGUGGGCUUCCAGCCAUUAGAGGAUGAGACUGUGUGGUGGGGGCCUCUCUGGCCUAUUUAAUCCUCCAAUCCCUUAAAUACCAACAAAUCUGCCUUCUGUCUGGAGCCAACAGCUGCCCCUUGAGUGGAGUGGAGUCCAGGCUGGCAGGGAGGCCAGGACUUUCUGAAUGAACAAAAUUAAAACUCCCCCCACCUGCUUGGAUUAUCAGCCCACCUCUUUCCUGUCCCAUCGGGACUCUUUAAAAACACCAUCUGCCUUAGCCUUCCUGUUGCAUGGGAAUUGGGAGAUGCCAGGGGAUAGAGCCAAGUUGGCACCAACUCUUGGGCACUGAGGGGUACAAAUUUCCAGGGAACUUGCUUGCAACUCCCUGGGGACAUGGUUUCUGACCACCAGAAGGGCUAAUGGUCUCAGGAAUCUGAGCUGCCAUUUCAGUGACCAGCAACAAAGAAAUUUUCAGCUGGGUAGGUCCUUGGGGAUUAUAGAGCCCAGCGGUUUUGACUUUCAUUUUAGCAGAUGUUUGUGCCUAUGGCAUGCAGAGGUUUCUAGGCCAAGGAUUGAACCUACACCACAGCAGCAACCCAGGCCACAAUAAUGACAGUGCCAGAUCCUUAACCUGCUGAGCCACCAGGUUAUGAGCUCCUUUUUAAUUUACUGCCUAAGAUCCUCAGCUACACCUGUCUUCCAGGUCUUGCCACUUGUUUCCAGCACAAGCAAAUGGCAACCCCAUGCUCCCCCAAACUCCUGGCUUCAGUGCAGGAGUGUCACACACCCCAUGGGUCUCAUCUUUGACCAACAAAAACAGGGGUGCGCAGAUGAAUUCCUUUCUCUUCCUCUUUCUUGGUAGCCUGUCCUAAGGUUCAUAUGGCCUCUUUAAAGAAGGUCCUGCAAGAUCUAGCAUCAGGGUAUAAGCAGCUUUUGGCAGGAAAGAGCUCUCUGCAGGUCGCCCCUUGGUCUUGUCUCUAACCUUAAACCAGGCACCCCUAUGCUCUACUCCUCUGGCCCUGGCACCCCUCUCAGAUCUUUUGAACACACAAUACCUUGCCUAAUCUGUUGGUUCUUUCUGUAGAUCAAAGAAGUAGAAGUGAAGACGAAAUAAUUAAUAGAUGGCCAUAUCUCCUCCCUAGCUUCCCCUCCAGUAAUCUCAUGAACAAACUGUGUGAACAAGAUAGUACCAAAAGAAAAAUCACAGGAAGUCCAGAAGCCUGCACAACAAGCCUGCACACGGUGGGGGACAGCAAUGACUCUGACCCCAUCUCAAUGAUUAGCUGAAAUCACUUCCCCUUUUCCCUUUAAAAACUUUCAUGGCUGAGCAGACUCUUCGGAGAUGGUUCCUGGGGGACGAUGAGUCAGUCCACCAUCCCCCCAGAAUGCCAGCAUUCUGAUUCAAAGCAACUUGUCUUUCUACCAGCUUUUGCAAGGGUUGAUUUUUUUCAAGUGGUGAGAAGCCAGACUUGAUUCAGUAACCAGGGGAUGCUUAUGGCAGCCAGCUCAGCAAAGCCCCUGUACCAUCUCCUUCUCUCUCAUCCCACCUUUUCCUCACUUAGCUUCCUGGCACGGUGCUUUCUCAUAGAGUGUUCACAUGUGUGCUUCUGUCUCAAGAUCUGCUUCUUCGGAAACCUGGGCCAAGACAACAUCAAAGAAGGAUACUCGGUGUAGAGAGCAGAUACUCCGCGUGAAGGGAAACGGGGCCCCAGGGACCAUCUCUUUUGCCCCUUACCAUUUCCAAGGUGCUGACCGAGGUGCUCUCCAAAGGCUCCCAAAAGCCUUUCAUCACCUUCAAUUCUGCCAUUCUGCUGCUGGGGAAACUGAAGCUGGAAGUCACACAGUGAGUCAGAAGCAAAGCCAGGACUAGUCUCAUCUUCUCACUCCUAAUCCAGUGAGAUUAAUCCUCAUGUCUCUAUGAAGUUUAUGUAAGAACUUAAGAACUUCUGGAAAUUUUUUCUUUUCCCAAAACAUCAACCUUCCAGGUUGACCCCUGGAAGGCUUCCCCCUGUCCAGCUUUGUUGAGAAAUAACUGACAUAACAUCACUGCACAAGGUUAAGGCAUGCAACAUCUUGAUCUGAUUUACAUAUAGUCUGAAGUGAUUACCUCAAUAGGUUCAGCUAUAUCCAUCAUCUCUCUGGAAGGCUCUGAAAUCCCGUUAGACUGUAGCCACCACCUGGGAGGCCUGAUGCACAGACCUCUGAACUCAGAAGUGGGGACUCAGGAGAGCAGACAAAGAGGAAAUGGGACAGAGACGGGGCAGUUAUGCUGGGAGAAAGGUGGUCAGGAAAGGCCAAAUUUAGGGACCUCUGCAUGUGAGCAACUGGGCUUACGUGGUUUGAAGGCUACACAAGGACAGACCCCAGGGGAGAGAAGACAGGCCUGGGGAAAGGGGGAGGGACUGUGGAAGGAGGUGGAGACUGGCUCCCAACCCUCCCCCAACCCCCUCGGCCAGCUGGGGUCACCUGUAGGACACCCUCCUCCAGGCUGAAAUCAUGCUUAAAGAAGCUGGGAGGGUGACCUCACUGUGGGGAAAAAGACAGAAGGAGGUGUUUGCUUCCAGUUGUUUUCAUAAGAUUCCUGUGGUUGUGACUGCUAGAAACAAGUUGGGGCCAGGUUGAUGACAAAAAGCAUUUUUUUUUUGGUUUUGUUUUUUUAGGACCACACCCAGAACAUAUGGAAGUUCCCAGGCUAGUGGUUCAAUCAGAGCUAUGGCUGCCGGUUUAUGCCAGAGGCACAGCAAUGUGGGAU
Molecule: long non-coding RNA, 5194 nt
Filed under: Sus scrofa (pig)
Lineage: Eukaryota; Metazoa; Chordata; Mammalia; Artiodactyla; Suidae
Description: lncRNA (ENSSSCG00015032316.1)
Source: RNAcentral